GAUGAACGCUGGCGGCGUGCCUAAUACAUGCAAGUCGAGCGAACGGACGAGAAGCUUGCUUCUCUGAUGUUAGCGGCGGACGGGUGAGUAACACGUGGAUAACCUACCUAUAAGACUGGGAUAACUUCGGGAAACCGUAGCUAAUACCGGAUAAUAUUUUGAACCGCAUGGUUCAAAAGUGAAAGACGGUCUUGCUGUCACUUAUAGAUGGAUCCGCGCUGGAUUAGCUAGUUGGUAAGGUAACGGCUUACCAAGGCAACGAUACAUAGCCGACCUGAGAGGGUGAUCGGCCACACUGGAACUGAGACACGGUCCAGACUCCUACGGGAGGCAGCAGUAGGGAAUCUUCCGCAAUGGGCGAAAGCCUGACGGAGCAACGCCGCGUGAGUGAUGAAGGUCUUCGGAUCGUAAAACUCUGUUAUUAGGGAAGAACAUAUGUGUAAGUAACUGUGCACAUCUUGACGGUACCUAAUCAGAAAGCCACGGCUAACUACGUG
This 497-nucleotide ribosomal RNA is filed under the name uncultured bacterium. Its description in RNAcentral is "partial 16S ribosomal RNA". It matches the Rfam family "Bacterial small subunit ribosomal RNA", at positions 28 to 507 of the family's 1533-position model. The record is from RNAcentral.